AGAGCGGAAUCAGGUCGGAAAUUUUGGAUAGAAACAAUAGAACUGAGUGAUUAAAGUGAUGUGUCAUAUAUUCGAAUAAAAAUAAUAAUGAUGUUCUUAGUUUUUUUUGCCAUCUAAAAGUUAUUAUUAAGGGACAAAGCCCAACACGACAUCUCACAUACAUUACCAAAAAACCAAACACAAAAGAUAAAAACUAAAUGGGUUUUAAGCCCAACCCACAGAACCGGCCCAAAUCAUUAACCCAAUAUGCGCCUUCAUUACCCGGCGCGACAAGCCCAAAAACUGCUUCCCAAGCCCACUAGGCUUCACACACACGUGUCGAUUAAUUAUCAAGACCAAACCACGUGU
Molecule: long non-coding RNA, 348 nt
Filed under: Brassica napus (rape)
Lineage: Eukaryota; Viridiplantae; Streptophyta; Magnoliopsida; Brassicales; Brassicaceae
Description: long non-coding RNA (BNAP_LNC009261)
Source: RNAcentral